This 781-nucleotide non-coding RNA is filed under the name Nyctiophylax orbicularis. Lineage: Eukaryota; Metazoa; Arthropoda; Insecta; Trichoptera; Polycentropodidae. The record is from RNAcentral.
AAAUAAUUAAUAUUUUUUGAUAGUUUAUUAAUUUUAAAUUAUUAGUUAAUAUUUAAUAUUUAAAAUUGUAGUAAUUUAUAUUUAAGAAAAUUAGGGUUAUUGUCAAAUAUUUUGUGCCAGCAGUCGCGGUUAAACAAAAAAUAAAUUAAUUUUAUUUAAAUUGAAAUAUUUAUAAAUAUUAGUUAUUUAAUUAAUAUAUAGAUUAAAAAAGUUAAGUUUUAUAGGUGAAAUUUUAAUAAUUUAAUAAUUUAUAAAUUUAAGUAAAGUUGAUAUAUAAUUAUUUAUUUUUACGUGAUUAAUAUAAACUAGGAUUAGAUACCCUAUUAUAAUUCAUUAAUUUUAUUAAUUUAUAUUAUUAAGUUUAAAAUUAUUAAUAGUUUAAUUCUAAAAAAUUAAGAUAAAUGGCGGUUAAUUAUUUAAUUUAGAGGAACUUACAUUUUAAUUGAUAUUUCACGAUAAAUUUUAUUUUCUUUAAAGUUCAUAUAUCGUUGUUAAAAAAGUUUAUAUAAUUUUAUUUAAAAAUUUAAGAAUUAAAAUUUUAAGUUAUAUCAAAUCAAGAUAUGGUAAUAAGUAAGGUUGUUGUGAGUUACAUUAAAUAAAAUUUUUGGAUAUUAAUAAUUGAAAUUUAUUAUUGAAAUUGGAUUUAAUAGUAAUUAUUAUAAAUUAUUUAUAAUGAUAAUAAUUUUAAUUUAUGUACAUAUUGCCCGUCACUCUUUUUAAUAUAUAUUUUAAAGGUAAGUCGUAACAUAGUAGGGGUACUGGAAAGUGUUUCUAGAUAGAA